This 84-nucleotide transfer RNA is filed under the name Actinomycetota bacterium. RNAcentral's name for it is "tRNA-Leu". It matches the Rfam family "tRNA". Rfam says of the family: Transfer RNA (tRNA) molecules are approximately 80 nucleotides in length. Their secondary structure includes four short double-helical elements and three loops (D, anti-codon, and T loops). Further hydrogen bonds mediate the characteristic L-shaped molecular structure. tRNAs have two regions of fundamental functional importance: the anti-codon, which is responsible for specific mRNA codon recognition, and the 3' end, to which the tRNAs corresponding amino acid is attached (by aminoacyl-tRNA synthetases). tRNAs cope with the degeneracy of the genetic code in two manners: having more than one tRNA (with a specific anti-codon) for a particular amino acid; and 'wobble' base-pairing, i.e. permitting non-standard base-pairing at the 3rd anti-codon position. The record is from RNAcentral. Lineage: Bacteria; Bacillati; Actinomycetota.
GCGGGCGUGGUGGAAUUGGAAUACACGCGGGCUUUAGGUGCCCGUGCGCGAAAGCGCUUGGGGGUUCGAGUCCCUCCGCCCGCA